GAUGAACGCUGGCGGUAUGCUUAACACAUGCAAGUCGAACGGUACCUUCGGGUAUAGUGGCGGACGGGUGAGUAACGCGUGAGAAUCUAUCUUCAGGUCGGGGACAACAGUUAGAAAUGACUGCUAAUACCGGAUGUGCCGAAAGGUAAAAGAUUUAUUACCUGAAAAAGAGCUCGCGUCAGAUUAGCUAGUAGGUGGUGUAAGAGACUACCUAGGCUUCGAUCUGUAGCUGGUCUGAGAGGACGAUCAGCCACACUGGAACUGAGACACGGUCCAGACUCCUACGGGAAGCAGCAGUGGGGAAUUUUCCGCAAUGGGCGAAAGCCUGACGGAGCAAUACCGCGUGAGGGACGAAGGCUCUUGGGUCGUAAACCUCUUUUCUCAAGGAAGAUUCAGACGGUACUUGAGGAAUAAGCAUCGGCUAACUCUGUG
This 432-nucleotide ribosomal RNA is filed under the name uncultured bacterium. Its description in RNAcentral is "partial 16S ribosomal RNA". It matches the Rfam family "Bacterial small subunit ribosomal RNA", at positions 28 to 507 of the family's 1533-position model. The record is from RNAcentral.